This 484-nucleotide ribosomal RNA is filed under the name uncultured bacterium. RNAcentral's name for it is "partial 16S ribosomal RNA". It matches the Rfam family "Bacterial small subunit ribosomal RNA", at positions 30 to 507 of the family's 1533-position model. The record is from RNAcentral.
AUUGAACGCUGGCGGCAGGCCUAACACAUGCAAGUCGAGCGGAUGAAGGGAGCUUGCUCCUGGAUUCAGCGGCGGACGGGUGAGUAAUGCCUAGGAAUCUGCCUGGUAGUGGGGGAUAACGUCCGGAAACGGGCGCUAAUACCGCAUACGUCCUGAGGGAGAAAGUGGGGGAUCUUCGGACCUCACGCUAUCAGAUGAGCCUAGGUCGGAUUAGCUAGUUGGUGGGGUAAAGGCCUACCAAGGCGACGAUCCGUAACUGGUCUGAGAGGAUGAUCAGUCACACUGGAACUGAGACACGGUCCAGACUCCUACGGGAGGCAGCAGUGGGGGAUAUUGGACAAUGGGCGAAAGCAUGAUCCAGCCAUGCCGCGUGUGUGAAGAAGGUCUUCGGAUUGUAAAGCACUUUAAGUUGGGAGGAAGGACAGUAAGUUAAUACCUUACUGUUUUGACGUUACCAACAGAAUAAGCACCGGCUAACUUCGUG